This is a long non-coding RNA of Parus major (Great Tit), 3229 nucleotides long. RefSeq lists it as uncharacterized. The record is from RefSeq and is a predicted model, not a curated record. The transcript has 2 exons. Lineage: Eukaryota; Metazoa; Chordata; Aves; Passeriformes; Paridae.
GUUUCAGCUGGAACACACCGCCAGGUCCCACCGGGUUGCGUCCCCGGCACCCCCCCGCACCCUACUCGGAUGGUCGCUACCCCACGCCCGUUUCCAGGAGACGGCGCUGGACGCCGGAAGCAGAGCGGAGCCCCAUUGGGCUGAGGGGCGGCUACGUCAGGGCGAGACCACCGGGUAGCGGGCGGGGGGUUCCCGGAUGUUGGCGUGGGGGUGCCGGAGGCUGGCGGGUCGGUCGGGGAAGGUCCGGCUGCUGCCGCAGCCCGUGUUGGUGGGGCUGCUCUAUGCAACCUUCACAGUCAAAACGGCAGGUAGCGUCCUCAGCCCUGCCACGGCCUUCUGCAGGAGCCGAAUUGAGGGACGCUUUUCUUGUGGCAAAAUUUCGCCCUUGAAACAAGCGUUUUCUGUGUUUAAGAGUAAUGUGGAGUUUUCACUUGUUUUUUCAUCCUAUGGGCUUCUGGUCUUCUUUUUCAUUCUUUUCUUGUCUGGUUUUGGUUUUGUAAGGCCCUUGAGAAAAUCUCUUUUCUUUUGGGCAACAUCAGGAACUGUGGUGAAAGGACAAGGGCCUUCAAACUGAAAGAAAUUUAGAUUGGAUUAGAUAUUAGGGGAAAAAAAUCUUUGCUGUGAGGGUGGUGAGGCACCGUCAGAGGUUGUCCAAAGAAGCUGGACAUGUCCCAUCCCUGGAGUUGUUCAAGGCCGGGUUGGAUGGGCUUUGAGCAGCCUGGUAUAGUGAAAGGUUGGGCACAGCAAGGGGUUGGAAUUAGAUGGUCUUUGAGGUCCCUUCCAAGUCAAACCAUCUGUGAUUCUAACAAAACAUUUAAAAACAUUUGCUCUAGAGCAAGCUGUAAAGAAUUCUAUUUUUUUCCUCAUUGUAUCACCUUUAUCUUAACCCCCUAAUAGGCUUGAAUGCAUUGAUCCAUUUCAACGAAUGUUCAUAAAAGAAGUAGUACACUCAAAGGAAGAAUUCAAUGUUUCUUCUAGGCAGCAUGACAACAGAUGGUCGGGAUUUUUACUCCCACUCUUGAGAAGACUUCAGUACGACUUUAAACCCCUGUAAUACUGAAAUGGUGGGGGGGGGGGAACCCAAACCCAAACCCUUAUUUAUUGUUGACAAAAAACUGAACAUGAGCCAGCAGUGUGGGCUGGCAGCCCACAAAGCCAGACGUAUCCUGGACUGCAUCUAAAGGAGUGUGGCCAGCAGGGUGAGGGAGGCAAUUCCAUCCCUGUACUCUGCUUUGGUAAGACCCUACCUGGAGUGCUGCAUCCAGCUCUGGUGCCUCCAAAAUAAGAAGGACAUGGAAGUGUUGGAGCAAGUCCAGGGAAGGCCAUGAAGUGAUAAGGGAACUGGAACACCUCCCCUAUGAAGACAGGCUGAGAAAAUUUGUGCUCUGUCCCAUUUUACACUGUAAGUUUUCAGUAACUGCAGAGGUGACUUGUAAUUAUCAGUGAAGCUACAGCUUUGAAGCUGCCUGAGUAAGAUAAUUUUUCCAUUCUUUUUUUAAUGUAAAUGAGUAGUUGACUAGAUAUAAAUAAACCAAAUACGUAACUAGACAUCACUGUGUAUUAAAAAGCACAAGAAAAGUAUGCUUUGAAGAGGGAUUUAUUUAGAUUUCAGAAAAACCUGUAUUUUAUCUGUGGUUGUGAUAAGAAUGACUGAUAGAAAGAAGAAAGAAUAGAGCAUUAGCUCAGUUGCACACAAGUCCUGGAAGCAGUUCAAUGCCACAUCUUAGAAUAAGUCACAAUUUCAUUGUCCCUGUCCAAGAAGAUAAAACUAAGCCACAGUAACUAUCAAGUUACUGUCUUCCAGAUUUCUCAUACUUUGUCCUGUAUAUGCUUUCUGUUAAGUUAGUCCAGAUUAAGGGUUGUUUUUAUGCAAAGGGGUUAAAUACCCCAUUUUGGGAGAGUGAGAUUAUAUGAACUUUAACAUAAAUGAAGUCUGUUGAAAUCUUCAUAUACUAGUGGCAAUAGAGUGAGAGAAACACACUAAAAAAAAAAUUCAGUAACAAUUGAACCAGAGGUUUAUAGCUUUUGAAAUUACGUGUCUCCAUGAUAAUUUUUCAGUAUAAUUAAAGGCACACAUAGAGAGACAUGUUGACUUAUACCACCUUUUUUUCCAAUCCCUCCUUAUAACGAGCUAUGGGCACUUUUUUAUUGUUGAUAUACAUUUCAUUACAUGUCUGUAUGUUUCUUAGCUUCUGUGUGCACAGUUUCAAUAUACUCCAGAUGGGGAAUUUUCCCUUUGAUUUGGUGUAAGAACGGAGGAUUCUCUCUUCAAACAUAUUGCUUCAGGUAUGAGACUUAUCUUGCAGAAAUAAAGUAUUACAAAUACAUAUCAGGGUUGUAAUUAUAAGACUCUUAUCUUUGGCCUCUUACUUACUGUUUCAGUCUAUUAUUCCUUUAUCCAGUUACUGAACAUGACUUCAAGCAUUGUACUCAACUGCAAUGAAAUUUUCUGUGGGAAUAUUUUCAACAUUCAAGAACGGAAUGCAAACUAUUCUCUGUUCUGUUUGCACCAUUUCAAUACUCCUAGCAAUCUGUGCAGCAAACUCAGCCUUGCUAUUUGCCUGGUUAAUAGACGGGACAGUCAGAUGUAAUCAAAUUCUUGUUCUCAAAUAAAUAUAUGAUCUAAUUUAAGACAAACUGAGAUCUCGUGAUUGCAAGCACAUAGUUCAGGCAUGCUUAAACACUUCACUGCUCUACCCUCAAUGGGUACUGCAUAAGCCUCUGACAUUUUGCCUGGUUCUCAAAAGUCUGACCAGUAGCCUAUAAUUUUAAGGUGUGUUUCCAUGUUUUGUAAAAUGUGUUCUUCAGUCUGCUCUAAUGCCUGUUGAAAACGCUGCACAGUUCUGUUUUAUUUUGCCAUAUGUACUAACUUCUCUUUUUUGUCCUUUUUAAAUUUUUUUUCCAGAUAUCAUGAUUACUCAUGCUCUAUCCCAUCUUGUUAGUACAUGGUGUUUAUUUCUAUUCCAGACUGACCCCAUUCUCAAGAGAAUUUCUAUUCUCGGCAUCUAGGAUUAUUUUUCAACAUCCUCUGGAAACUGGCACAUAUUUUCAUCGUUUGAGUGCAACUUUGUUCUUCUUAAUUUUUGUCUUUCUGUGGUAACAUUAACAUGUGAUUAUCGUAUUAUCAUUUUGAUAUUAUGAUGUUAUGAUUUUGUCACCUUGGUUUUCUGGUAUGACUCUGUUGUACUUAUUGGUCCAUGUCAAAUUCAUUAAAUAAAUUCAAAUGUUA